CCUACGGGAGGCAGCAGUGAGGAAUAUUGGUCAAUGGGCGCGAGCCUGAACCAGCCAAGUAGCGUGAAGGAUGACUGCCCUACGGGUUGUAAACUUCUUUUAUAAAGGAAUAAAGUGAGGCACGUGUGCCUUUUUGUAUGUACUUUAUGAAUAAGGAUCGGCUAACUCCGUGCCAGCAGCCGCGGUAAUACGGAGGAUCCGAGCGUUAUCCGGAUUUAUUGGUUUUAAAGGGAGCGUAGAUGGGUUGUUAAGUCAGUUGUGAAAGUUUGCGGCUCAACCGUAAAAUUGCAAUUGAUACUGGCAGCAAUGAUGACAGUUGAGGUAGGCGGAAUUCGUGGUGUAGCGGUGAAAUGCUUAGAUAUCACGAAGAACUCCGAUUGCGAAGGCAGCCUAAUAAACUGCCACUGACAUUGAUGCUCGAAAGUGUGGGUAUCAAACAGGAUUAGAUACCCCUGUAGUC
Molecule: ribosomal RNA, 460 nt
Filed under: uncultured bacterium
Lineage: Bacteria
Description: partial 16S ribosomal RNA
Rfam family: Bacterial small subunit ribosomal RNA
Source: RNAcentral